RNA transcript from Cervus elaphus (red deer), 1719 nucleotides. It is a transcript of the gene named glycosylated lysosomal membrane protein, with no coding region annotated. The record is from RefSeq and is a predicted model, not a curated record. Lineage: Eukaryota; Metazoa; Chordata; Mammalia; Artiodactyla; Cervidae. The transcript is spliced from 7 exons.
ACUUCAGCGUCUCUUCCGUCCUCUGAAGCUGGGACCACAUGAGCGGCUAUGAAAAGCCUAGCCGGGGUUGGGGGUACUGUGCCCCCAGCCCCGUGCUCCUUCUGAGUGUCCUGACGGCAGCUCCACUUGGCCUGCUGGGGGAGGAGACCCGCCAGGUGUCUCUGAAGGUCAUCUCUAACUGGCCGGACUUUUCCCAGAACCUGCUUCAUAUUCAGGCAGUGGGUACCAACUCCACGCUGCACUACGUGUGGAGCAGCCUGGGUCCCCCAGCAGUGCUGUUGGUGGCCACCAACACCCCCAACAGCACCCUGAGUGUCAACUGGAGCCUCCUGCUCUCCUCUGAUCCUGACGGGGGCCUGAUGGUGCUCCCCAAGAAGAGCAUCCAAUUUUCUUCUGCCCUUGUCUUUACCAGGCUAUUUGAGUUUGACAGCACGAACAUGUCCGACGCGGCCUCAAGGCCUCCAGGAAAAUCAUAUCCCCCGUACUCCUUGGCCAAUUUCUCCUGGAACAACAUCACUGACUCACUGGAUCCUGCCACCCUCAGCGCCACGUUUCGAGGCCACCCUGUUGACGACCCCACUGGGGCUUUUGCCAAUGGCAGCCUGACCUUCAGGGUCCAGGCCUUCUCCACAUCUGGCCGACCAGCCCAACCCCCUCGCCUCCUGCACUCAGCGGACACCUGCCAGCUAGAGGUGGCCCUGGCUGGGGUCUCUCCCCGGGGAAACCGCUCCCUGUUUGGGCUGGAGGUAGCCACCUUGGGCCCGGGCCCCGGCUGCCCCUCAAUGCAGGAGCUGCACUCCAUCGAUGAUGAGUAUGCCCCUGCUGUCUUCCAGUUGGAUCAGCUGCUAUGGAGCUCCCUCCCAUCAGGCUUCAUGCAGUGGCGACCAGUGGCUUUCUCCCAGAAGCAGGGCAGCCGGGAAUCAGCCAUGCCCUGCCAAUCUUCCCCGCUUUACCCCACCUUGGCAUACCUUCUCCCCCAGUCACCCAUUGUCCGAGCCUUCUUUAAGACCCAGAACAACUUCUGUGCCUUCAAUCUGACAUUUGGGGCUUCCACAGGCCCUGGCUACUGGGAUCAACACUACCUCAGCUGGUCUGUGCUCCUGGGUGUGGGCACGCCUCCAAUGGAUGCCUUGUCCCCGCUCAUCCUAGGCAUCGUGGCAGUGGCCCUCGGUGCUCCAGCGCUCAUGCUGCUGGCAGGAGGCCUGUUUCUGCUGCUGGGCCACAAGCGGUACUCUGAAUACCAGUCCAUAAAUUGAGGCCUGCUGUCUAGAGGAAAGGACAUUACUCGACCUGCCUUGCUGGUCUGCAGGUUUGAGGGUUUGGGAGCAUGCUAUUCCAUGGGGUUGCAGAGUCGGACAUGACUGAGCGACUGAACUGAACUGAGCAUACUACAGAGACUGUUCUGCACACUGAUUUUCCCCCCAUUGAAUGCAUCUUGGAGCUUAUGUCAUUGUGUGUGUGUGCUCAGUUGCUCAGUCGUGUCCGACUCCUUGAGACUCCAUGGGCUGUAGCCCACCAGGCUCCUCUGUCCAUGGAACUUUCCAGGCAAGAUUACUGGAGUGGGUUGCCAUUUCCUACUCCAGGAGAUCUUCCCAACCCAGGGAUUGAACCCACAUCUCCUGCAUCUCCUGCAUCUCUCGGCAGGUGGAGUCUUUACCACUGACCCACCUGAGAAGCAAUUGUGUCGUAUCAGUAUAUAAAGAGCUUCAUUAUUUCGCA